GUGCUCGCUUCAUCAGCACAUAUACUAAAAUCGGAACGAUACAGAGAAGAUUAGCAUGGCCCCUACACAAGGAUGAAACAUAAAUUCAGGAAGUGUUCCAUAUUAGA
RNAcentral lists this small nuclear RNA (107 nucleotides) under Peromyscus maniculatus bairdii (prairie deer mouse). Lineage: Eukaryota; Metazoa; Chordata; Mammalia; Rodentia; Cricetidae. RNAcentral also lists the same sequence under 1 other name. The record is from RNAcentral.